AAGAGGAAGAGUAUUCCAGGAAGAAAGACCAGUUGGUUCAAGAAACAAAAAAAAUUAUGUGCAGAAAUGUAAUGGGCAAGGAGAAUGGUUAGAGAUAAAGUCUGAAAGAUUGGCAGGGUAGAGAACACAGUUUGAACCACUUCUUACUGAACUGGGGAAACCGACCCCUGACAGAUUGAAAGAUGAGGCUUCCUUGAAUGAGAGAAGUGCUACCUAAUAUCGUCGGUGGGAUGGAGUCAGGAAUGGGACAAAGACAAAGGUUGGUGACCACUCCUUGA
This 278-nucleotide long non-coding RNA is filed under the name Homo sapiens (human). Its description in RNAcentral is "HSALNT0106746". The record is from RNAcentral. Lineage: Eukaryota; Metazoa; Chordata; Mammalia; Primates; Hominidae.